UUUUUUUCUUAAGACUUAGUUUGUCAAAUGCCGUGAUGGAGGAAGCUACAGCUUCAUUUUCCUCUGGUUGUGACCAGAAUAGGGAGAAAUGAUUUUAUUUGUCCUUUGCAAGCUAAAUAUGAAUUGCGCGGUAUUUAGUUUUUUCAUGAAAACGGAACUCGGUAUAUCUCAUUAAGAGCUGAUGAUGUUACCGUGAACAAAAUGGCUUUAAUAUCGCUAGUUAAUAGCUAAUAUCCGACGUUUGGAGCAUUUUCUCUCUCAUUUAAAGACUCACCUGCAUUUAAUGCUUACGGCUCAUUAAGACAGUAGCGAGAGAUGCGAGUUAGAAUAACUUACUUUGUUACGCUGUGAUAAACACUGACUGACAACAUGCUAGCUAAUGCUAAGUUGGUCGUUAAACAGUGUAAAUACAAAUUCUGAUUGGACAGCGCCUUCAGGGAGUGGGCGGGGCUUAUCUGUCUGGUUUAACGCCUGGAUGAUGUGAUGAAGCAGCAGCAGGAGGAGGAGAAGAAGAAGUUCUUGUUCUGCAGUUCAGUCGGGGAUGAGAUGAUGACCUCAGUGUAGCUGGAGGACCGGUUCCGGUUUGGUGGAAAUGUCUCUCUGGGCGGUGAAAUGGACACUUUGUCUACUCGGCAUGGUGACCAGGAACGCCGCUUCACCUGGCCUGGAUUUUGGAGGCGAGUCCGGAUCCGGGAUGCUGCCGACAGGCCACUGGUCCAGUGAAGCUCAGAUGAGGAAUGAAUGGGGCAACACAUCAGAACAGCCAGAGACCUCAUCACCUUCAAUACUGGAGAAGAAAAACUCCCCACCUGAGCAUCAGCACCUUCACCUGUUGUUACUGUCACAUAUAAGAAGACCACUAUACAAGCCACCAAUACCAACAUGUGUGUGUGUUCUAACCCUCCUUGAAGACAUUAAGGAGACUCAGAGGGUUCACAGUCGAAUGCUACAGUCUCUCCUGAAACAACGUGAAGGACCAGUCGCUGAGGUUUUACCUGAGGUUUUGUUUUCCCUCUCUGGACUGGCACUGAUGGUAUUAAACCCGUUUCUACACAUCUGGUUUCCACACGUUUAUUGUCUGGGCCUAAUUUGGGGCAAAUCUCUAUGGUGUCAUUCUCAGAUGUUAAAAGUUGUUUCUGGUUCUCAACAGUUUAAAACAGAAGUAAAUAAAUUGUUGUUUUGUGUACAUA
Molecule: long non-coding RNA, 1190 nt
Organism: Xiphophorus couchianus (Monterrey platyfish)
Lineage: Eukaryota; Metazoa; Chordata; Actinopteri; Cyprinodontiformes; Poeciliidae
Exons: 2
Source: RefSeq, a predicted model, not a curated record